RNAcentral lists this transfer RNA (68 nucleotides) under Diaphanes nubilus. RNAcentral's name for it is "tRNA-Val". Lineage: Eukaryota; Metazoa; Arthropoda; Insecta; Coleoptera; Lampyridae. The record is from RNAcentral.
CAAGUUGAAGCUUUAUAAAGUUUUUUAUUUACAUUAAAAUUAUUACUGUUAAAUUCAGUGCAAUUUGA